This is a non-coding RNA of Camelina sativa (false flax), 1357 nucleotides long. The record is from RefSeq and is a predicted model, not a curated record. NCBI's taxonomy places the organism in Eukaryota, Viridiplantae, Streptophyta, Magnoliopsida, Brassicales, Brassicaceae.
GACCCGUUCACAAGUUGCUUAGGUUUUGCCACUUGCAAUACAGAGAUUCUCAGAGAUGAAGUGGUCCGGAUAAUGCCUUGGUGUUGCAGACACAUUGUUACUAUUUUUUGUAUCACCUUUUACUAUUUUUCAUAUGCACUUUAUUUAAAGUUUAGCUAGAUUCGUUUAUCUCUUUGGCUUCAUACAAGGUUUACGUAGUUGAUUAUUCAUCCUGAACCUUGUCAUUACUGUUCAGGUACAUCUCCGAGUAAGGCUUCGAGUCUCAAAGCCAUCACCAACUGUUACGGGAUUACUACCUAUAGAAAGUUACGCAAACUCUUGAAUAUGUGUUUACUCUGGUUAAUAAAGGGCAAUGGAAAGCAUAUAGGAAAAUGACAUGGAAAAUAGAGACGGGGGAUGUGCCAAGUAGUAUUGCGUCUAAAGAUUAAGCAUUUUAGUGUCCAACUGAGCAAAGGUUAUUACAUCACAUGCCCCUAUAUGCUUUAUUAGAUCUCAACCUGUGGAAGUAUUCUAAACACUACACUUGUGUGCAAAAUUUCAAAGACUUGUCUUUAAGAUCUCAGAGGAUACGACACUCUCUAGGUUUGAGGACUAGCUCCAGUUACGCUUUUGGGUCCAGUGGAUGUAUGAUACCCAUUUUGUGGUCCAAAAAGAAUGAGAUUUGAUGGACGCUCUAGUGGCCAAAUUCAUGUGGCUUCCUUCACUCUAUGCUUUUAGAGCUGAAAAAUUUACGGAAAGCCUAUUUCCUUGAAGAGAACAAGAGUCGAGGGACCAUAUAAAGCUUGUAGUUGUUCGUAUUGUGCGGAUUCUCCACUUUCCACGGUUGUGAGAAUAUGAGGAAAAGUGCAAAAGUGCAGUGUGAGCUUCGCAUUGGCUCUUAAAUUCGUUGUGCUUCAAGUGGUUGUCGUUGCAUCUUACAAAUUCCUGACAAGAAAUUUAGUAGAAACUUAACUACUAGUUCACGUUUCCUUGGUGAUGAUAUGCUAGUAUUAGAUGCAAACGGCGAUACCUUUGCUUUGCUUGCUAGCUAGGUUUAUAUUUAUGUGGUGCAUGAUCAAACCAGAUCACUGAACACGUUUUCUGAUGGUCUGAGAACUUGCUGCAGUGAACACGUAUGGCUUCAGUGAAUGAAUGAAAUCCAUUAAUGUGGUCCAAAAGCAACCUAUUUUACAAUACACUGGUGGGUAAGUUCAUGUACACUGACUCAGGUAUGGCUAUCCUAGUGGUAGAUAAGUUGAGCUCUGUGGCCCUUUCCAGGUGGCAGAAAGUGAAGGCUUUACAGUGUUACUCUUUUUCCUUUGCUGCCUCGUUUAUUCUUUAAUGCGAACCUUGUAAAAGUGAGCUAUUAUUCUAAAAG